CGAGGAAUAUUGGGCAAUGCCCGCAAGGGUGACCCAGCAACGCCGCGUGGAGGAUGAACGUCGUAAGAUUGUAAACUCCUGUUAGAGGGGAAGAAUAGUACCGGUUGGACCGGUAUAUGACUGUACCCUCAGAGAAAGCCCCGGCUAACUACGUGCCAGCAGCCGCGGUAAUACGUAGGGGGCAAGCGUUGUCCGGAUUUACUGGGUGUAAAGGGCGCGCAGGCGGGAUAAAAAGUCAGUGGUGAAAUCCUACAGCUUAACUGUAGAACUGCCUUUGAUAAUUUUAUUCUUGAGUUCGGGAGAGAGAGACGGAAUUCCAGGUGUAGUGGUGAAAUACGUAGAUAUCUGGAAGAACACCAGUUGCGAAGGCGGUCUCUUGGUCCGACACUGACGCUGAGGCGCGAAAGCGUGGGGAGCAAACA
This 422-nucleotide ribosomal RNA is filed under the name uncultured bacterium. Its description in RNAcentral is "bacterial SSU rRNA". It matches the Rfam family "Bacterial small subunit ribosomal RNA", at positions 355 to 774 of the family's 1533-position model. The record is from RNAcentral.